GCCCUUAUGGCGUAGUGGUAGCGCGUGGCACUUGUAACCCUUGAUCGUCGAGGAUGAUUUAAAUUAAAUAAAUCAUCCACAACACGACAAGGUCUCCAAAAUGCCAAGGUCAUUGGUUCAAACCCAGUUGGGGGCA
Non-coding RNA from Gnomoniopsis sp. IMI 355080, 136 nucleotides. The record is from the annotation of a GenBank genome assembly. NCBI's taxonomy places the organism in Eukaryota, Fungi, Ascomycota, Sordariomycetes, Diaporthales, Gnomoniaceae.